Molecule: ribosomal RNA, 496 nt
Filed under: uncultured bacterium
Lineage: Bacteria
Description: partial 16S ribosomal RNA
Rfam family: Bacterial small subunit ribosomal RNA
Source: RNAcentral
GAUGAACGCUGGCGGCGUGCCUAAUACAUGCAAGUCGAGCGAACGGACGAGAAGCUUGCUUCUCUGAUGUUAGCGGCGGACGGGUGAGUAACACGUGGAUAACCUACCUAUAAGACUGGGAUAACUUCGGGAAACCGUAGCUAAUACCGGAUAAUAUUUUGAACCGCAUGGUUCAAAAGUGAAAGACGGUCUUGCUGUCACUUAUAGAUGGAUCCGCGCUGCAUUAGCUAGUUGGUAAGGUAACGGCUUACCAAGGCAACGUUGCAUAGCCGACCUGGGAGGGGGAUCGGCACCACGGAAGUGGGGCGACGGCCAGGAGCCCGAGGGAGGGCACAGUGAGGGAAUCUUCGGAAAGGGGGGAAAGCUGGCCGAAGGAACGCGGGGGGGUUGAUGAAGGGCUUCGGGCGGAAAAACGCUUUUAUUGGGGAAGACCAAAUGUGUAAGUAACGGUGCACAUCUGGCGGUAACCGAUGAAGAAGGCCAGGCUUACUACGUG